AUUGAACGCUGGCGGAAUGCUUUACACAUGCAAGUCGAACGGCAGCACGGGGGCAGCCCUGGUGGCGAGUGGCGAACGGGUGAGUAAUACAUCGGAACGUGCCCGGUCGUGGGGGAUAACGUAGCGAAAGUUACGCUAAUACCGCAUACGAUCUGAGGAUGAAAGCGGGGGACCUUCGGGCCUCGCGCGAUCGGAGCGGCCGAUGUCAGAUUAGGUAGUUGGUGGGGUAAAGGCCUACCAAGCCGACGAUCUGUAGCUGGUCUGAGAGGACGACCAGCCACACUGGGACUGAGACACGGCCCAGACUCCUACGGGAGGCAGCAGUGGGGAAUCUUAGACAAUGGGCGCAAGCCUGAUCCAGCCAUUCCGCGUGCAGGACGAAGGCCUUCGGGUUGUAAACUGCUUUUGUACGGAACGAAAAGGCUCUGGCUAAUACCUGGGGCUCAUGACGGUACCGUAAGAAUAAGCACCGGCUAACUACGUG
RNAcentral lists this ribosomal RNA (484 nucleotides) under uncultured bacterium. Its description in RNAcentral is "partial 16S ribosomal RNA". It matches the Rfam family "Bacterial small subunit ribosomal RNA", at positions 30 to 507 of the family's 1533-position model. The record is from RNAcentral.